This 459-nucleotide ribosomal RNA is filed under the name uncultured bacterium. Its description in RNAcentral is "partial 16S ribosomal RNA". It matches the Rfam family "Bacterial small subunit ribosomal RNA", at positions 338 to 795 of the family's 1533-position model. The record is from RNAcentral.
CCUACGGGAGGCAGCAGUGAGGAAUAUUGGUCAAUGGGCGCGAGCCUGAACCAGCCAAGUCGCGUGAGGGAAGACGGUCCUAUGGAUUGUAAACCUCUUUUGUCGGGGAGCAAAAGACGCCACGCGUGGCGUUCCGAGAGUACCCGAAGAAACAGCAUCGGCUAACUCCGUGCCAGCAGCCGCGGUAAUACGGAGGAUGCGAGCGUUAUCCGGAUUUAUUGGGUUUACAGGGUGCGCAGGCGGAAGAUCAAGUCAGCGGUAAAAUUGAGAGGCUCAACCUCUUCGAGCCGUUGAAACUGGUUUUCUUGAGUGAGUGAGAAGUAUGCGGAAUGCGUGGUGUAGCGGUGAAAUGCAUAGAUAUCACGCAGAACUCCGAUUGCGAAGGCAGCAUACCGGCGCUCAACUGACGCUCAUGCACGAAAGUGUGGGUAGCGAACAGGAUUAGAUACCCCUGUAGUC